CGCAGAAUGGUGUAAAGGUAGCACGUUAGGCUCUGAACCUAAAGAUGUUGGUUCGAUUCCAGCUUCUGCAA
Molecule: transfer RNA, 71 nt
Filed under: Inoviridae sp.
Lineage: Floreoviria; Loebvirae; Hofneiviricota; Faserviricetes; Tubulavirales; Inoviridae
Description: tRNA-Gln
Rfam family: tRNA
About the family: Transfer RNA (tRNA) molecules are approximately 80 nucleotides in length. Their secondary structure includes four short double-helical elements and three loops (D, anti-codon, and T loops). Further hydrogen bonds mediate the characteristic L-shaped molecular structure. tRNAs have two regions of fundamental functional importance: the anti-codon, which is responsible for specific mRNA codon recognition, and the 3' end, to which the tRNAs corresponding amino acid is attached (by aminoacyl-tRNA synthetases). tRNAs cope with the degeneracy of the genetic code in two manners: having more than one tRNA (with a specific anti-codon) for a particular amino acid; and 'wobble' base-pairing, i.e. permitting non-standard base-pairing at the 3rd anti-codon position.
Source: RNAcentral